Molecule: ribosomal RNA, 454 nt
Filed under: uncultured bacterium
Lineage: Bacteria
Description: partial 16S ribosomal RNA
Rfam family: Bacterial small subunit ribosomal RNA
Source: RNAcentral
GAUGAACGCUGACAGAAUGCUUAACACAUGCAAGUCAACUUGAACUUCGGUUUGGGUGGCGGAUGGGCGAGUAACGCGUAAAGAACUUGCCUCACAGUUAGGGACAACAUUCGGAAACGAAUGUUAAUACCUGAUAUUAUGAUUCUAUGGCAUCGUAUCUUCAUGAUAGCUAUAUGGGCUGAGGGUGAGCUUUUGGUCACAUUAGCUAGUCUGAGAGGUAACGGCUCACAAAGGCGAGGAUGGGUAGCGGGCCUGGGGGGGUGAUCGGCCACAAGGGAACGGGGACACGGCCCUUACUCCUACGGGAGGCAGAGGUGGGAAAUAUGGGACAAGGGACCAAGAGUCUGAUACAGACGUUCUGUGUGGAAGAUGGAGUUUUUCGGAAUGUAAAGUGCUUUCAGUUGGGAAGAAAAGAAUGACGGUACCGGCAGAAGAAGUGACGGCUAAAUACGUG